CAGAAGGAGAGGAGAGGAGAAGGGGAGAGGAGAGGAGGAGAGAGGAGAGGAAGAAGUAGAGGAGAGGAGAAGAGGACAGGGGAGAAAAGAGGUGGGGAUAAAGAAAGAGGAGUAAAGAGGAGAUGUGGGCAGACAGAAGUUGGGGAGGAGGAGAAAGGAGAGGAGCCAUUGGAACGCAGGGGGGAGGAGGAGAAAGGAGAAGUAAGUGGAGCUAGAGGAUAAAUAUUUAAUGUCAUCUGCAGCAGAAACAUCUGACUGGCUCUUUCAACCUGCCACACACACACACACACACACACACACACACACACACACACACACACACACACACACACACACACACACACACACACACACACACACACACACA
Gadus macrocephalus (Pacific cod) is the source of this 367-nucleotide long non-coding RNA. RefSeq lists it as uncharacterized. The record is from RefSeq and is a predicted model, not a curated record. Lineage: Eukaryota; Metazoa; Chordata; Actinopteri; Gadiformes; Gadidae. The transcript has 2 exons.